GACGAACCGUGCGAACGUUGUUCGGAAUCACUGGGCUUAAAGGGCGCGUAGGCGGCCUCUUUGGUCGUGGGUGAAAUCCCCCAGCUCAACUGGGGAAGUGCUUACGAUACCGGGGGGCUCGAGGGAGGAAGGGGCGGCCGGAACUGUCGGUGGAGCGGUGAAAUGCGUUGAUAUCGACAGGAACGCCGGUGGCGAAAGCGGGCCGCUGGCCCUCUUCUGACGCUGAGGCGCGAAAGCCAGGGGAGCGAACGGGAUUAGAAACCCCAGUAGUCC
This 273-nucleotide ribosomal RNA is filed under the name uncultured bacterium. RNAcentral's name for it is "partial 16S ribosomal RNA". It matches the Rfam family "Bacterial small subunit ribosomal RNA", at positions 524 to 796 of the family's 1533-position model. The record is from RNAcentral.